AUAAUGGGUCAGCGACUUAUAUUCUGUAGCAAGGUUAACCGAAUAGGGGAGCCGAAGGGAAACCGAGUCUUAACUGGGCGUUAAGUUGCAGGGUAUAGACCCGAAACCCGGUGAUCUAGCCAUGGGCAGGUUGAAGGUUGGGUAACACUAACUGGAGGACCGAACCGACUAAUGUUGAAAAAUUAGCGGAUGACUUGUGGCUGGGGGUGAAAGGCCAAUCAAACCGGGAGAUAGCUGGUUCUCCCCGAAAGCUAUUUAGGUAGCGCCUCGUGAAUUCAUCUCCGGGGGUAGAGCACUGUUUCGGCAAGGGGGUCAUCCCGACUUACCAACCCGAUGCAAACUGCGAAUACCGGAGAAUGUUAUCACGGGAGACACACGGCGGGUGCUAACGUCCGUCGUGAAGAGGGAAACAACCCAGACCGCCAGCUAAGGUCCCAAAGUCAUGGUUAAGUGGGAAACGAUGUGGGAAGGCCCAGACAGCCAGGAUGUUGGCUUAGAAGCAGCCAUCAUUUAAAGAAAGCGUAAUAGCUCACUGGUCGAGUCGGCCUGCGCGGAAGAUGUAACGGGGCUAAACCAUGCACCGAAGCUGCGGCAGCGACGCUUAUGCGUUGUUGGGUAGGGGAGCGUUCUGUAAGCCUGCGAAGGUGUGCUGUGAGGCAUGCUGGAGGUAUCAGAAGUGCGAAUGCUGACAUAAGUAACGAUAAAGCGGGUGAAAAGCCCGCUCGCCGGAAGACCAAGGGUUCCUGUCCAACGUUAAUCGGGGCAGGGUGAGUCGACCCCUAAGGCGAGGCCGAAAGGCGUAGUCGAUGGGAAACAGGUUAAUAUUCCUGUACUUGGUGUUACUGCGAAGGGGGGACGGAGAAGGCUAUGUUGGCCGGGCGACGGUUGUCCCGGUUUAAGCGUGUAGGCUGGUUUUCCAGGCAAAUCCGG
RNAcentral lists this ribosomal RNA (930 nucleotides) under Escherichia coli. RNAcentral's name for it is "partial 23S ribosomal RNA". It matches the Rfam family "Bacterial large subunit ribosomal RNA", at positions 612 to 1545 of the family's 2925-position model. The record is from RNAcentral. Lineage: Bacteria; Pseudomonadati; Pseudomonadota; Gammaproteobacteria; Enterobacterales; Enterobacteriaceae.